GCGACCCCCAGGUCAGGCGGGACUA
Molecule: ribosomal RNA, 25 nt
Filed under: Goodenia eatoniana
Lineage: Eukaryota; Viridiplantae; Streptophyta; Magnoliopsida; Asterales; Goodeniaceae
Description: partial 25S large subunit ribosomal RNA
Source: RNAcentral